GAUGAACGCUGGCGGCGUGCCUAAUACAUGCAAGUCGAGCGAACGGACGAGAAGCUUGCUUCUCUGAUGUUAGCGGCGGACGGGUGAGUAACACGUGUAUAACCUACCUAUAAGACUGGGAUAACUUCGGGAAACCGGAGCUAAUACCGGAUAAUAUUUUGAACCGCAUGGUUCAAAAGUGAAAGACGGUCUUGCUGUCACUUAUAGAUGGAUCCGGGCUGCAUUAGCUAGUUGGUAAGGUAACGGCUUACCAAGGCAACGAUGCAUAGCCGACCUGAGAGGGGGGUCGGCCACACUGGAGCUGAGACACGGACCAGAGUCCUACGGGAGGCAGCAGUAGGGAAUCUUCCGCAAUGGGCGAAAGCCUGACGGAGCAACGCCGCGUGAGUGAUGAAGGUCUUCGGAUCGUAAAGCUCUGUUAUUAGGGAAGAACAUAUGUGUAAGUAACUGUGCACAUCUUGACGGUACCUAAUCAGAAAGCCACGGCUAACUACGUG
Molecule: ribosomal RNA, 497 nt
Filed under: uncultured bacterium
Lineage: Bacteria
Description: partial 16S ribosomal RNA
Rfam family: Bacterial small subunit ribosomal RNA
Source: RNAcentral